GAUGGAAAGUUAAACAAAUUGAACAGGAAACAUGCUCAGCGCAGUUUCGGUUUAAAAACAGAACCUACACAACUGCAACAAACCAUUUCAGGUCAAGCCAUCAACGCCAGAGCACCUUGACUCCAUCACACUGAACAAAACAUGCAGAAACGUCUGGCGAUUUUACUUGUCCUUGCGCUGGUAGUCGCCGUUGCUAACUUUCCAACAGCACAAGGGUUUUCAGGCGGAACUGGAACCUGGAAAAGAGCUUUGCAGGUGAUGAAGGAAAAAAGAAGCAUGUGUCAUGCGAUGAGAGAAUACUGCAAACGAGAGUUUAUGGAAGACGAAGAAGCGCCCGCGCCUUUGAAGGAGUAAAAUCAUGUCCAGCGGCUGACUUGUUACGUCAUGUAAUACAUAUACAACUGAACAGCAAACUUUUCCAAAAGCACAGAUGAAGAUAUCUGAUUUAACUGUAAAGUUUGGCACAUGUAAUAAAAGAAAAUAAGCACUGAGACAGUC
Orbicella faveolata is the source of this 498-nucleotide long non-coding RNA. RefSeq lists it as uncharacterized. Lineage: Eukaryota; Metazoa; Cnidaria; Anthozoa; Scleractinia; Merulinidae. The record is from RefSeq and is a predicted model, not a curated record.